RNAcentral lists this ribosomal RNA (788 nucleotides) under uncultured Glomeromycotina. RNAcentral's name for it is "eukaryotic LSU rRNA". It matches the Rfam family "Eukaryotic large subunit ribosomal RNA", at positions 1 to 635 of the family's 3401-position model. The record is from RNAcentral. Lineage: Eukaryota; Fungi; Glomeromycota.
AAAUGACCUCAAAUCAGGUAAGAAUACCCGCUGAACUUAAGCAUAUCAAUAAGCGGAGGAAAAGAAAAUAACAAUGAUUCCCUUAGUAACGGCGAGUGAAGGGGGAAAAGCUCAAAUUUUAAAUCUGCUAGGUUUUUUACCUGUCAGAAUUGUAAUUUGAAGAAGCGUUUUCCGCGUCUCGGUUGGCCCAAAUCCUUUGGGAUAAGGUAUCAUGGAGGGUGAGAAUCCCGUUCGGUUGACCUUAUGACGCAUUACGAUACGCUUUCUAAGAGUCGAGUUGUUUGGGAUUGCAGCUCAAAAUGGGAGGUAAAUUUCUCCUAAGGCUAAAUAUUGGCGAGAGACCGAUAGCGAACAAGUACCGUGAGGGAAAGAUGAAAAGAACUUUGAAAAGAGAGUAAAAUAGUACGUGAAAUUGUUGAAAGGGAAACGAUUGAAGUCAGUCGUACCGACGAGAAAUCAGCUUAUCGUGUGUUAACUUGUGGGCGUGCGUGAGUUUCGGCCUCGCUGUUUGCAUGUUUGUGCGCUUUGGGUGUACUUUUUCGUAUGGUUGGCCAACAUCAGUUUCGAUUACUAUAAAAUGACUGGCGGAAUGUAGCUUCGAUUUCGGUUGAAGUGUUAUAGCCUCUGGUAGAUGUGGUGAUUGAGACUGAGGAUUGCAACGAAUAUUCUUUGGGCUAUCCGUCUGGCCUCUGAAAGUUGCUUGGGUGCUGAAAGCUUGCUUAUGGUUAUCUAAGUUAACGGUCAAUAGGUUAGAACGUGAUUACAUUCGUUAAGGAUGUUGGCGUAAU